GGCGGAUGCAGAAGCAGCUCUUAAUUCAGACUCUACAAUCAGGGCAAAUAGAUGAGAUGUAGCACCAAUCCCUUCCAAUGGAAUAACCGCAUAGCUAAUAGAACCAUCCAAAGGCAUCAGAAGUGUAGUCCAAGUAUCCAACAAGAUAUCACGUGCUACCCAGCUCCACGUCUCCUCUUCAGUGUGGCUUGCCAUAAGGUCUUUAAUGACCUCACACAUCAGGGCGGACAACAAACUAAGAGUGCCAUAAGGCCUUAUAGACUUCAGCAGUUCAUCAAAUACUAGCACUGUGGUUACAGUAGCCAUGUAUAGUAAGGCUCGGCAUCCGUCAAGGAAUUCACUUUCACUUUUUCCGUUCACUAUUGCUGUUGAAACAACAUCAGGGGGGUCUAUCCAUGCUAUAAUUCCAGAUAAAAGAUGCAAAAGGUGCUGUUUUUGAGUAUUCCCGUCAUCAGAUGGAAAUAUUGUUCCCCACAAGGAGAAAAACUGAACUAUAAGCUUGCGAGCAGAGA
This 512-nucleotide unclassified non-coding RNA is filed under the name Hevea brasiliensis (rubber tree). Lineage: Eukaryota; Viridiplantae; Streptophyta; Magnoliopsida; Malpighiales; Euphorbiaceae. The record is from RNAcentral.